ACCCCUAACAACAACAAAUGUCUCAGCAGCAGCCCCAGGUAUUUUCCAAACCUUUGAACUCUUUAUCUUCUAUGUCUAUUUAGGGAAUGACAUUGAAUAUAUGCACAUUCUACUAGGAGGGAAUACAACCUUUUUUUUUUUGUCAUUGUUUGUAUUUCUCCUAUUCAAUUUCUUAACAUUUGUGUGACACUAGGCGAAGAAAAUGAGUUGCUAGAGAAGUAGUAACUUAAAAUAGGUAGCACCAAUUUAUUCAUCACAUCACAUUUUAUUCCUCAUGGGUAGCAAAUGGACUUAUGUUUUGCAGUAAUCUGCUGGUCAAAGGAAUUGCUGAGAGCUUCCUAACAACAAAAACAUUGAUGUAGAAAAGCGGAACACGUGGAUUUUUCAGUUGAGUGUAGAGGUAGUUUAGUUUAUUAUCUGUAGGUUAGUUGCUUGGAGACCAUUUAUGUUUUGGUCGGCUGUCUGUUUCUGUAGUUGCCUCUUUUCUAUUUCCUUCUUUGUCGGCCUAUUGCACUCUUGGACAUUUCACUUAUAUGCGGUCUAGUUAUGUUAAGGGCCACACAGAGAUCUAGGACGUCUUUUUUGCACCUCAACAGUUUUGGCUUGUCAAAUGUUUAUUUUGAUGAAUCAUGGUGCUUUUUCUUAAUAAUUUUCAUUUCUUGAUAAUUGGUUUUGUUUACCAUUUCAAUCAUUACAUCUUGUGUCGGGUUAAUUACCAUUUUUAAAUUCAGAUGGCUUGUUAGUUUGUUCUGUUAAGGGUGCUCAGAUGUUGUCAUUAAAAAGAUUGUAAAUUGCUUGGUUUGCUGCUUGAUUUGAGGCAAUUUUGUGUUUAGGUGGUACCAUAGAUCUGUUUUGAUUCCUGUUGCCUCAAGUUGGGGUUAUAAUUUGUGAAGGGUGGAGUAAGUUACUUGUCAAAAA
This 918-nucleotide long non-coding RNA is filed under the name Capsicum annuum. RNAcentral's name for it is "long non-coding RNA (CANN_LNC015331)". The record is from RNAcentral. Lineage: Eukaryota; Viridiplantae; Streptophyta; Magnoliopsida; Solanales; Solanaceae.